Molecule: microRNA, 21 nt
Filed under: Branchiostoma floridae (Florida lancelet)
Lineage: Eukaryota; Metazoa; Chordata; Leptocardii; Amphioxiformes; Branchiostomatidae
Description: bfl-miR-4883
Source: miRBase by way of RNAcentral
ACUGCUGAAAGUCACUUUAGG